RNAcentral lists this unclassified non-coding RNA (604 nucleotides) under Hevea brasiliensis (rubber tree). Lineage: Eukaryota; Viridiplantae; Streptophyta; Magnoliopsida; Malpighiales; Euphorbiaceae. The record is from RNAcentral.
CUUUUUUCUCCUGCUUAAAAAAUAUGCUUAAUUUUUUAUAUUCUAAACAUAAUCUUAUGGUAGGACUUCAUGAUAAAAUUGACUUGCUUCGUGAAUGGCUUUUCUUGGAUGAUCUUUGAUGUGAUCAGGGUUUUGGGGGUCAAAAACAUCCUCAAGUUAUUUGACUUAUUUCUGAACUUACCUAUUUGAUUUUAUGUUCUCGGGACUCCGACUCCCACAGCCUGCUGAAGGACAAAAGGAAAUUCUUUGUUUUGUGGGAAAAAAAAAAUUGUGGGCCUUUCACUAUAGUUGCUUUUCUUCUGCUGUUUAGAACCUGGUUUCCUCUGGAUUUCAUGCAUCUGUGUCUGAACCCAACCCAAGUUUUAUUUGUCAUGAAAUCCUUUGAUGACUUCAGUCUCUAUUUUUAUACAUUAUGAUGUACAGCAUGCGUGGUGAUCUUCCAACUUCUGAUAGAGCUAUCGAUUUCUAAACCUCUUAUAAGACUGAUAUCGAUUAAAUUUUUGGUUGAAACUCUCUGCUCUGCUUAUAUAGUUAAUAUUGGUGUUUGUGCCCUUAAUACCAUUUUGCUCUGGAUCCCAUGCAGGAUUUUGAAUGUGCAAGUUGG